UACACUUUAAAUCCUUUAACGAGGAUCUAUUGGAGGGCAAGUCUGGUGCCAGCAGCCGCGGUAAUUCCAGCUCCAAUAGCGUAUAUUAAAGUUGUUGCGGUUAAAAAGCUCGUAGUUGGAUCUCGGUUUCACUCAGGUGGUACACCUUGCGGUGUUCACUAUCUGGGUGGACGUUUCUGUUGGUUCGCUCUUGGUGCUCUUCAUCGGGUGCCAUUUGGUGGCCAGCACGUUUACUUUGAAAAAAUUGGAGUGCUCAAAGCAGGCGUUACAGCCUGAACAUUAGUGCAUGGAAUAAUGGAAUAGGAUCUCGAUUCUAUUUCGUUGGCUUUCGGAGUCGAGGUAAUGAUUAAUAGGGACAGACGGGGGCAUUCGUACUGCGACGUUAGAGGUGAAAUUCUUGGAUCGUCGCAAGACGAACUACUGCGAAAGCAUUUGCCAAGAAUGUUUUCAUUAAUCAAGAACGAAAGUUAGAGGUUCGAAGGCGAUCAGAUACCGCCCUAGUUCUAACCAUAAACGAUGCCAACCGGCGAUCCGUCGUCGUUAAUUGAAUGACUCGACGGGCAGCCUCCGGGAAACCAGAGUGUUUGGGUUCCGGGGGAAGUAUGGUUGCAAAGCUGAAACUUAAAGGAAUUGACGGAAGGGCACCACCAGGAGUGGAGCCUGCGGCUUAAUUUGACCCAACACGGGAAAUCUCACCAGGCCCGGACACCGGAAGGAUUGACAGAUUGAGAGCUCUUUCUUGAUUCGGUGGGUGGUGGUGCAUGGCCGUUCUUAGUUGGUGGAGCGAUUUGUCUGGUUAAUUCCGAUAACGAACGAGACUCUGGCCUACUAACUAGAAGGUCUAUCCUUUAUGGGUAGGCCUCUGCUUCUUAGAGGGACGGGCGGCGUUUAGCCGCACGAGAAUGAGCAAUAACAGGUCUGUGAUGCCCUUAGAUGUUCUGGGCUGCACGCGCGCUACACUGAAGGAAUCAGCAUGUUCUCCCCUCCCUGAAAAGGGCGGGUAACCCGUUGAAACUCCUUCGUGAUGGGGAUUGGAGAUUGUAAUUAUUCUCCAUGAACGAGGAAUUCCCAGUAGGCGCGAGUCAUCAGCUUGCGUCGAUUACGUCCCUGCCCUUUGUACACACCGCCCGUCGCUACUACCGAUCGAGUGAUUUAGUGAGGACUUCGGACUGGUCUUCAAGUUGGCUUCGGUCGGCUCGAAGUUCCGGAAAGAUGCCCAAACUUGAUCACUUAGA
RNAcentral lists this ribosomal RNA (1235 nucleotides) under metagenome. RNAcentral's name for it is "SSU rRNA". It matches the Rfam family "Eukaryotic small subunit ribosomal RNA", at positions 519 to 1777 of the family's 1831-position model. The record is from RNAcentral.